Molecule: long non-coding RNA, 666 nt
Filed under: Vulpes vulpes (red fox)
Lineage: Eukaryota; Metazoa; Chordata; Mammalia; Carnivora; Canidae
Description: lncRNA (ENSVVUG00000026354.1)
Source: RNAcentral
UUUUUGUUUAGGAUCUUUUUUAUUUUUAUACACAUGACAAGAUUUUAUACCAAGAAAAGUCAGUUAAGUUGUACAAAUUUACAUUCAUGAGGAACAUUAUAAAAUUCAACUAGAAAACCCACUUCUUUCUGUGACCUACAAUCCCAACAUUUUUCAGGGCCGGGGGGAAGUGAUGAGGGGAGCAUCCAAAACAAGUCUCUCCCAAAAGAAAUGACUUAAAUUUCACUUUCCCUCUCCACACAGGAUGCAAAUGAUGAGAGCGUAAUUUAUCAUUCGUUUUUUCAGCUGUGGAUUUCUUUGCUAUUUCUUGUUCUUCGUCAUCUGACAAAUGGAAAACUUCAAUUUGCAAAUAAGAAAAAUAAUCUUUAGAUAGCUUAACCAAGUUAAAAUGGUUGUGUGAUAUAAUUCAGUUUCUUUUGGUUUUGUAUUUCAGGAGAAAUGGAAGAUUUAGGGAAGCAAAUACUAUUUUGCCACCAAUACCUGGAAAUCACAGGACCAGGUGACAGAGUUUUAAUUAGGAAUACACAUCGUAGUUCAGAGAAUACUGGCACUUCAUCCAACACUGCUGAAAAGACAAAGCACCUCAUUGUAUGACCUGAUGUCUUCAUAGCUGGGAACCAACGGUAGAAAGAAUCUUACAUUUUCUACUGAAUGGGACUGGUGUUC